Molecule: transfer RNA, 72 nt
Filed under: Camelus bactrianus (Bactrian camel)
Lineage: Eukaryota; Metazoa; Chordata; Mammalia; Artiodactyla; Camelidae
Also listed under: 2 other names
Rfam family: tRNA
About the family: Transfer RNA (tRNA) molecules are approximately 80 nucleotides in length. Their secondary structure includes four short double-helical elements and three loops (D, anti-codon, and T loops).
Source: Rfam by way of RNAcentral
GAGGGUGUAGCUCAGUGGCAGAGUGCAUGGUUGGCAUGCACGAGGUCCUGGGUUCCAUCCCCAGCACCUCCA